RNAcentral lists this ribosomal RNA (338 nucleotides) under uncultured bacterium. RNAcentral describes it as "partial 16S ribosomal RNA". It matches the Rfam family "Bacterial small subunit ribosomal RNA", at positions 338 to 673 of the family's 1533-position model. The record is from RNAcentral.
CCUACGGGAGGCAGCAGUGAGGAAUAUUGGUCAAUGGACGCAAGUCUGAACCAGCCAUGCCGCGUGCAGGAAGACGGCUCUAUGAGUUGUAAACUGCUUUUGUACGAGGGUAAACGCAGAUACGCGUAUCUGUCUGAAAGUAUCGUACGAAUAAGGAUCGGCUAACUCCGUGCCAGCAGCCGCGGUAAUACGGAGGAUUCAAGCGUUAUCCGGUUUUAUUGUGUUUAAAGGGUGCGUAGGGUGUCGGAUAAGUUAGAGGUGAAAUCCCGAGGCUCAACUUCGGAAUUGCCUCUGAUACUGGUUGGGUAGAGAGGAGUUGCGGUAAGCGGAAUGUAUGG